Molecule: ribosomal RNA, 253 nt
Filed under: uncultured bacterium
Lineage: Bacteria
Description: partial 16S ribosomal RNA
Rfam family: Bacterial small subunit ribosomal RNA
Source: RNAcentral
UACGAAGGGGGCUAGCGUUGCUCGGAAUCACUGGGCGUAAAGGGUGCGUAGGCGGGUCUUUAAGUCAGGGGUGAAAUCCUGGAGCUCAACUCCAGAACUGCCUUUGAUACUGAGGAUCUUGAGUUCGGGAGAGGUGAGUGGAACUGCGAGUGUAGAGGUGAAAUUUGUAGAUAUUCGCAAGAACACCAGUGGCGAAGGCGGCUCACUGGCCCGAUACUGACGCUGAGGCACGAAAGCGUGGGGAGCAAACAGG